Molecule: ribosomal RNA, 254 nt
Filed under: uncultured bacterium
Lineage: Bacteria
Description: partial 16S ribosomal RNA
Rfam family: Bacterial small subunit ribosomal RNA
Source: RNAcentral
UACGAAGGGGGGCUAGCGUUGUUCGGAAUUACUGGGCGUAAAGCGCACGUAGGCGGUCUUUUAAGUCGGGGGUGAAAUCCCGGAGCUCAACUCCGGAACUGCCUUUGAUACUGGUCGUCUAGAGAUCGGAAGAGGUGAGUGGAAUUCCCAGUGUAGAGGUGAAAUUCGUAGAUAUUGGGAAGAACACCAGUGGCGAAGGCGGCUCACUGGCCCGGUACUGACGCUGAGGUGCGAAAGCGUGGGGAGCAAACAGG